ACAAUACCUUGGUGAUGGCGUGAU
Molecule: non-coding RNA, 24 nt
Filed under: Arabidopsis thaliana (thale cress)
Lineage: Eukaryota; Viridiplantae; Streptophyta; Magnoliopsida; Brassicales; Brassicaceae
Source: RNAcentral